UUCUAUAUUUUCACUUAGUCCGAUCCUUACAAACCAUACAUAAAUGGAAAGCUUAUUUAUUCAGCUUUUAGCUGCAUAAAUCUAAAUAAAAUAAAAAAGACCAUUAAUAUAGGUUUUGUGGUCCAGUAUGCAAACAAUGGACAACAAUGAGAUGUACUAUUUUUGCCAGUAUAAAAGAAGCAACGGCAAAACUAGACAUUUUUUGCCAAAAAAGAAAAAAAAAGUUGGACAGGAAAACCCAACAACAAGGCAAAAUAACUAGUGAAUGGUUAGAGCAACUGAUUAAAA
Carassius carassius (crucian carp) is the source of this 288-nucleotide long non-coding RNA. RefSeq lists it as uncharacterized. The transcript has 2 exons. The record is from RefSeq and is a predicted model, not a curated record. NCBI's taxonomy places the organism in Eukaryota, Metazoa, Chordata, Actinopteri, Cypriniformes, Cyprinidae.